RNAcentral lists this ribosomal RNA (1746 nucleotides) under Triticum aestivum (bread wheat). RNAcentral describes it as "partial small subunit ribosomal RNA". The record is from RNAcentral. Lineage: Eukaryota; Viridiplantae; Streptophyta; Magnoliopsida; Poales; Poaceae.
AUGGCACUAGUAGGCUUUGUGGAUUGGAGGGGAAACGCCAUCAGGAAAGAGGUGCAUGGUGGAGUCAGAGCAGCAUGGUUCUUGUACGUUCUGACUGUGGUAACCAACGUGGUUAUUAUCCCAAACCUGCUGAAUCUGGUUACUUAUCUUCAUGGAACAAUGCAUAUGGGGGUCUCGGCCUCUGCAACUACAACCACUAAUUUUUUUGGUGCCACAUCCGGGUUUGCAAUGAUAGCAGCUUUCCUCUCCGACUCCUACAUUACUCGCUUUAGAACAAUGCUCCUCUUUGGUCCAUUUAUGUUUCUGGGUUACGGAUUGCUCGCACUGCAAGCCUACCUUCCUUCACUCCGUCCACCAGCUUGCAACAUUGAAGCAGAGCUAAACAGCUGUGAAGUGGUCCAUGGAUGGAAUGCUACCUUAUUGUACACAGCCUUGUAUAUGACUGCAUUUGGUGAUGGUUUUAUCCGUGUUUGCUUGCCAUCCCUCGGAGCAGACCAAUUUGACCAUGAAGAUCCCUCUGAGUCCCGCCAACAGUCCAGCUUCUUUAACUGGUAUACCUUUGGAAUCUCCUUUGGAGGUUUUGUAGGGCUGAUUCUCAUAGUGGGGAUCGAGAACUACAAAGGGUGGGAUAUCGGACUUGGGGUGUGUGCCAUCCUAAUUCUGCUAGGAUUGCUCAUAGUCGCUGCCGGUUUCCCCUUCUACUGCAACCAAGUACCACAAGGAAGUCCUCUAACUCGAAUACUGCAGGUUCUUGUGGUUGCAUUCAGGAACAGGAAACUUGAACUUCCUGAAAAACUUGAGGAAGCGAAGGAAAGCUGCACUGGGACAAGGGCAUGUUCUGUUGAUGCACUCGCUCAAACAAAUAGUCUGAAAUUCCUCGACAAAGCUUGCAUCAACAGUGGCCAAAGUGGAGCCUGGUCAGUUUGUAGUCUGAGAAAGGUGGAGGAGAUAAAGAUCAUCCUCCGUGUGCUUCCUCUCUUCGUCAGCUCCAUAAUCGGAUAUAUAUCGAACGUUAUCCUCUUCACAUUCACUGUGCAGCAAGGCACCAUGACGAACACAAGGCUGGGCAAGAUCCAUGUUUCCCCCGCGACACUCUUUAUCAUCCCCAUCAUAUUCCAGAUGCUAAUGCUUGCUGUCUAUGACCAGUUCCUUGUGCCAUUCUUGCGUAGACGUACAGGCUAUGUUGGUGGUGUCACUCAUUUGCAACGCAUUGGUAUAGGCUUCGUCACCAUGCUACUUGCGUCAAUCAUUGCAGCAAUUGUUGAGAAGAAGAGAAAGAAAGCUGUGGUGCAGAUGUCCCUCUUCUGGCUUGCACCUCAAUUCUUCCUUCUUGGUGUGGCAGAUGUGACAUCAUUCACCGGGCUCCUUGAGUUCUUCAACAGCGAGGCACCACGCGGCAUGAAGUCUAUUGCCACAGCGUUGUUCUGGUGUGCUCUGGGGCUCGCGUCCUUGCUGGCCACAACGCUGGUGGAAAUUGUGAACAAGGCCACAAGGCAUGGGCACCAGAGAGGCUGGCUCGAGGGUACAAGCUUGAACAACAGCCAUCUUGACCUGUUCUACUGGGCUGUGGCUGUUGUGGGAUUGCUUGGCUUAUGCAACUACCUGUACUGGGCCAAGAAGUUCAUCCUUGAUACUCCAUUUGUGAAAUUGUCAAAAGAAAUGGCUUUCUCCAUAACACUACCUAACGUGGAUUGUUCAUGUCAAAAUAAUAUCCAAGGGCAAAUAGCUUACUUCUCCGAACAGUGA